AGUCGACCCCGGCACACUGUUGCUAACUGAUGCACCUUCACAAGCCGACUCUAGUAGAUCACGAGUCAACCCCAGCAUAGUCUCAAAGGACAGACAAAAAGCUAAGAAAUUCAUCAUAUUGAUGAGUCAACUCAUGAAAUACUCGAGCCAACUCCAGUCUAACAAGAGUCAGCCCUAUAAAGAGAUGAGUUGACCCCUGAAUGGCCGUAGAGAAAAGAUAGAAAGCUGGAAAAUUUAUCGUAUUGGCAAGUUGACCCAUAGAAUUCACGAGC
Molecule: long non-coding RNA, 272 nt
Filed under: Phoenix dactylifera (date palm)
Lineage: Eukaryota; Viridiplantae; Streptophyta; Magnoliopsida; Arecales; Arecaceae
Description: long non-coding RNA (PDAC_LNC006897)
Source: RNAcentral